This 67-nucleotide transfer RNA is filed under the name Mahanarva spectabilis. RNAcentral describes it as "tRNA-Cys". The record is from RNAcentral. Lineage: Eukaryota; Metazoa; Arthropoda; Insecta; Hemiptera; Cercopidae.
GGUCUUGUAGUCAAUUUCAUGAUUUUAAAUUGCAAGUUUAAAGUAAUAGUUAAAUCUAUUAAGGCUU